GCGACGUCAAAGCGUUCAUUAAAGUCGAGUUGGCUUAGGGAUACGUUCGUUGGGUAGGGGAGCGUUCUGUAAGCCGUUGAAGGUGGCCUGUGAGGGUUGCUGGAGGUAUCAGAAGUGCGAAUGCUGACAUAAGUAACGAUAAAGCGGGUGAAAAGCCCGCUCGCCGGAAGACCAAGGGUUCCUGUCCAACGUUAAUCGGGGCAGGGUGAGUCGACCCCUAAGGCGAGGCCGAAAGGCGUAGUCGAUGGGAAACGGGUUAAUAUUCCCGUACUUGGUGUUACUGCGAAGGGGGGACGGAGAAGGCUAUGUUGGCCGGGCGACGGUUGUCCCGGUUUAAGCGUGUAGGUGUGUGUUCCAGGUAAAUCCGGUUCACUUUAACACUGAGGCGUGACGACGAGGCACUACGGUGCUGAAGCAACAAAUGCCCUGCUUCCAGGAAAAGCCUCUAAGCAUCAGGUAACAUCAAAUCGUACCCCAAACCGACACAGGUGGUCAGGUAGAGAAUACCAAGGCGCUUGAGAGAACUCGGGUGAAGGAACUAGGCAAAAUGGUGCCGUAACUUCGGGAGAAGGCACGCUGACACGUAGGUGAAGUGAUUUACUCAUGGAGCUGAAGUCAGUCGAAGAUACCAGCUGGCUGCAACUGUUUAUUAAAAACACAGCACUGUGCAAACACGAAAGUGGACGUAUACGGUGUGACGCCUGCCCGGUGCCGGAAGGUUAAUUGAUGGGGUCAGCGCAAGCGAAGCUCCUGAUCGAAGCCCCGGUAAACGGCGGCCGUAACUAUAACGGUCCUAAGGUAGCGAAAUUCCUUGUCGGGUAAGUUCCGACCUGCACGAAUGGCGUAAUGAUGGCCAGGCUGUCUCCACCCGAGACUCAGUGAAAUUGAACUCGCUGUGAAGAUGCAGUGUACCCGCGGCAAGACGGAAAGACCCCGUGAACCUUUACUAUAGCUUGACACUGAACAUUGAGCCUUGAUGUGUAGGAUAGGUGGGAGGCUUUGAAGCGUGG
RNAcentral lists this ribosomal RNA (1010 nucleotides) under Salmonella enterica subsp. enterica serovar Stanley. RNAcentral describes it as "partial 23S ribosomal RNA". It matches the Rfam family "Bacterial large subunit ribosomal RNA", at positions 1199 to 2167 of the family's 2925-position model. The record is from RNAcentral. Lineage: Bacteria; Pseudomonadati; Pseudomonadota; Gammaproteobacteria; Enterobacterales; Enterobacteriaceae.